GUGCACUGGUCACUGCAGUGCACUGCAGUGACCAGUGCACUGCAGUGACCAGUGCACUGCAGUACACUGGUCACUGCAGUGCACUGGUCACUGCAGUGACCAGUGCACUGCAGUGACCAGUGUACUGCAGUGACCAGUGCACUGCAGUGACCAGUGUACUGCAGUACACUGGUCACUGCAGUGCACUGGCCACUGCAGAGCACUGGUCACUGCAGAGCACUGGUCACUGCAGUGCACUGGUCACUGCAGUGCACUGGUCACUGCAGUGCACUGGUCAC
Molecule: small nucleolar RNA, 278 nt
Organism: Sycon ciliatum
Lineage: Eukaryota; Metazoa; Porifera; Calcarea; Leucosolenida; Sycettidae
Product: small nucleolar RNA SNORD17
Exons: 1
Source: RefSeq, a predicted model, not a curated record